GUCACGCUCGGGCAGACUCCGGGAGAUACCGAGGGCCGGCAGAGGGGGCGCUGCGGAGGCCAAGCUCGCGCCGGCGUUUCCUACGCUCUUUUCUUACCCGCCGCCGGUUACUUCUCGGACUGGUUUUCCCUCAGCUUCCUCGCCCCUCCGUAACGUUGGGGAAGCGUCGGGAUGGGUUGAAUUGGAAGCAGCAGCAGCAACAGGAAGCGCCCUAUCGCGUUCCUCAGGGCGCAAUGGCGAACUUUUAUUCUCCUCGCUCCCUCGUUAAAAACGAGGAAGAAGCGACCUCCUCUCAUAUUACUUACUUCACCUGUCUCCCCCCUCGGCCCAGUUUCUCCUGUCCAAAGAGGAGCGAACUUGAGUCGCAGCAGCAGGCGAACGAGGGACUGGACGAGAGGAACAGAAAUCAAAACCUUUCUUCUUCCCACGAGUCGCCAUUACCUUGCGGGACCCGCCGCCCACUGGCUCCUGUGGCUUUAAAGCGGGAUGUGAGGGGGCGAUUCUGUUAACGACAACCAAGUUUCUUGGGAUUCAACUCUCCCCACCACAAUCCUACAAAACAAUUUAUACCAAGGGACAAUGAGCGGCCAAGAGCGCAAACAAGAUUGGAACAAUUGAAAAGAGAGAGAGACUGAAAUUGACAUUGCUGUGUGGAGUGUUCUGUUUAGUAUUCCAGUCAGUUAUGCCAUCCUCCAGGAUAGUUCAUUCCAUUCCCACCCAGUUUCCAUCACCUGCCCUGCCCACAUCAGUGGUCAGCAUUCCAUGGCUACAGAGCACAUUCAGUCUCCAUUCAGCUAUUCUGGGUUUUCUUUAAUGAUCAGGGUGGGGGGAGCUGAUUGUAAUGCCAUCAGCUCCUGUUUCAGGUUCCAGGACAGAACACCAGUAAAUAUUAACUUAACUUUAAAUACUAAACCUGGCAAGACACAAACCUGACUACCUAAACCUAGCACAAAGAAUUGAAUCUGCCAUUAUUCAAAAGAUAUACAGUUGUUUUAAUAAGUAGAACAAAUUGGGAUAAAUUAUUAAAAUGGCAACAAUACAAAAUAUUUUUAUUUUAAUCCUUUGGAUGUUAGUUUUAUUUAUGUGCCCCAAAUUAUCACAAAAACAGUUCCUGCCUCACACACUUUCCCAAUUAAAUUUGUGCCAUUUUUAGAUUUUAACAUAAACAUUUUCAUUAGUCAUAUUUCAAAACACUGCAUGACUGAUGCUUCUGUGUAUCAAACCAUUCCAGGAUUCAGAAAUCUGAGCAUGGUAGAGGUACCCUAAAUGACCCCAUAGAUCUUAGCAACAUGGCUUGGAAUGACACAGUUUUCCAAGUGUAAGAAGAACAAAACACAUUUAUUAUACUUGUGAUCAAAUGCUUAGCAAUGUUGUUUUUCUGUACUUCUGCUUUAUUCCUACCUAGCACAGAAUGCAGAACAUUCACCUUUUCCAUCUUAUCCUUAAAUUAUUCACCAUAUAAUUCAUUUUCUUAAAGAAACAAAUGUUUCAAUCUGUUGUGCUUUUUCACAUAAAAAAAUCAUUUCCUGUUUCAGAUUAUUCUUGUUACAGUCAAAAGGAUUAGCUACUUACU
Molecule: long non-coding RNA, 1573 nt
Organism: Podarcis muralis (Common wall lizard)
Lineage: Eukaryota; Metazoa; Chordata; Lepidosauria; Squamata; Lacertidae
Source: RefSeq, a predicted model, not a curated record